UUGUUGCCAGCCUUACAUUGUCUCAAAC
RNAcentral lists this non-coding RNA (28 nucleotides) under Rattus norvegicus (Norway rat). Lineage: Eukaryota; Metazoa; Chordata; Mammalia; Rodentia; Muridae. The record is from RNAcentral.